AGGAGCUUAGGAUUAAACUAAUUAACCGGCGGCUUUCAAGUCCGCAAAAAAGGGGUAACCUUAGCUUCUG
This 70-nucleotide transfer RNA is filed under the name Phrynocephalus erythrurus parva. RNAcentral's name for it is "tRNA-Trp". The record is from RNAcentral. Lineage: Eukaryota; Metazoa; Chordata; Lepidosauria; Squamata; Agamidae.